Molecule: long non-coding RNA, 1891 nt
Filed under: Numida meleagris (helmeted guineafowl)
Lineage: Eukaryota; Metazoa; Chordata; Aves; Galliformes; Numididae
Description: lncRNA (ENSNMEG00000020984.1)
Source: RNAcentral
CUGCUAUUGAGUGUCAUUCAGAACCACGCCCGGCCCAGACCCACACUGCGCCUUGGUGCCGUUACAUUGGAAUAGUGCGACUAGGGCCAGCACAGUCACUCUGUUGUGAAACAAAUGCAAUAGAAAGUCACCCCGAAGAGAUACACUCACAUCUCCAUUCUGACUGUCCGGACAUAAUAAGGCUGUCCAGAUUCUAAAGUGUGGCAUAUGUAUUAAUUAUAACUGCACAGUUCAAACAUGAGCUAUUUUGCAUAGGAGUAAUUAGAAUCACAAUUGACCUUUUGUAGAAAUGUAGGGUUAUGCUUAAUUCUAGCCACCAGCAUUCAAAACAUUUAUUUAAAUACUAUUCCUACUUUCAAGCUCAUAACUUAAACAUUUGAAAGCCUCCCAUUUGCUUCCCUGCUAUUCUGCAGUAGCUGCUCGCCAUGCCCCGCACCAGGCAGGGGACCGCUGCCCUCGCUGGCCAGCACCGCGACGCUCCCAGCAGCCCCCGACAGCAGCCUCCCCCGGCGCUGCUGAGACAAAGCAGCAGCCAGCAGGCACCUCUGCAGGAGGGCACGGGGAAACCCUCUUGAUUUCAGCUGCCCGUAAAGGCUACCAGAUAUCCUGCAAGCCCUUCCCCGUGCCAAGAAAAAUACCAGCGAUUUUGAGGCUAGCGCUGCAGAUGGAACUCAGGUCUAUUCCCCGUGCAGCGGUGAGGACAGUACAUCACCAGGGACAGACAGAGCUGAUGUUAGAGCACUCCAAGAAAUGAUGAGGGCCCAGAAGGCAGUAUGGAGAGAGGCCAUUCGUACAGGGAGGAGAAAAGCCUCUUUUCUGUUUACUUUGAGAAAGCCUUGUAUUGACUUCCAUUUAUCUUCCAGUAAGUCCUUGUCCAACGCAGCACGGAACAUAAGCUGUUCCAAGGGCAGGUGCUCCUUAAUGAGAGAACUGAAAACUCCUUUUCUUUUUCUUCUUCUCCAUUCAUUAAAAGGAAAAGAGAAGAGGGGGAAAAAAUAAAAGAGUUAGAAAAUGGCAUGAAAGCAUAUUACCAGUAAAUUGUUUCCACUGUGUUUGUGACUGUUCUUAAUGUUUUAUGAAUAUGCUAAGAAAUUUGCUCAGGCAUUUUUCCUUGGGCACUCCAGUUAAUUACUUAUUCAGAGUGCUUCUACUCCGUUCCUUGCAAAAUGUGUUGUGCAUUAAUUCUGAUUAUGUACAAAAACCCACCUGCAAGGAAAAACUCUGAAUCAGUAAUGCUGAUAAAAUGAGCAGCUCUCCUGGGGCUCUACUGAGAAACAGGAUACUGGACAGAAUUAGAAUCUUGUAGCUAAGGCUAUUCAUAAUGUCAUUAACAUAAAGGCAAUUAAAUGAGUUUUUAACCUACAACCCUUUAUUGUUAUUAAUGAACAUUAGAAAAACACAGGAGAUAAAAUUGGUAAUUAUCCCUGCACCAAGCUCUGCAAUAAUGUGUUUAAAUAUAAAAACAAAACAAAUGAUUAUUGUUAGUAUUUUCAGUAGCAGAAGCCCCAAGGAGCAGCUCAGUCACAUUUAAUCACAUGGUACUACACCAAGAGGGUUAAUUAAACGAGGGCUUUACCUUCAGCACGCUUGGUUAUUCUGUUUAAUAUGGAAUCAACAAACAGCAGCGUGAAUCUAUGAAAUAUUCCAGGCUGUGACUUCUACCUUCGGGUUAGCCACCUUUUCCGAAAUGGAGAGCACCUUCAUUUCCUUCAGGACAAGUAGCUGCAGUCCUGCAAUCGAGUUUUUACUGUAGCGUGCUUUCAGAACCAAUUCCAGAAACAACUGUAUAAAUCCCACUUCAUAGCCUGGGCUUGCAAUUCUGUAGGAAAGAUUUGGGAGUCUGAGAGAGAUGUACGUUUUAAAGGAGGUAAUAAAUGAGGCUCCAGUACCA